GUGAAAGUCACAGUGAGAAGACGCCAGCGUCCAUAGGAAAGCAUUGUGAAUGCUUUCCUAUGAGACUGGCUGAAUUCUUUAUUUAAUAUUGACAUAUGUAUCAAAAUUGGUAUUGACAGUAUUUGAGGUAGUUACAAUCACAUUGCGCGUGUCAUAGUGAUUACAGUAUAUAGCAGGUGAAAAAUAUUACUGUGCUGUUUUAGAUUUUCCUAGAGGUUACUUUUUAACCAG
This is a non-coding RNA of Pelobates cultripes (western spadefoot toad), 231 nucleotides long. The record is from the annotation of a GenBank genome assembly. Lineage: Eukaryota; Metazoa; Chordata; Amphibia; Anura; Pelobatidae.